AUGGAUUGGACGCCUCAGCCUGACCUUUCCAUUCCCCCAUCCCCAUCUCCCCUUGUUCCCGCAGGGCUCCGGGCGGCCGUGACCCUGCUGGAGUCCGGGGGGACCUCCAGCCCCCCGGGGGGUCCCUGCGCCUCCUCUGCCGAGGCUCCGGGUUCAGUUUCGGCAGUUUUGGGAUGGGCUGGAUGCGCCAGAGACCCGGGCAGGCGCUGGAAUACGUCGCCAGUAUCAACAAAAACGGCGGCUGGGGCGGCUCCGCGCCGUCGUUGAAGGGCCGGGUGACGAUCUCCAGGGACAACGGGCAGAGCUCGGUGACGCUGACCAUGAACAGCCUCAAGGACGAGGAUUCCGGAUCCUAUUUCUGUGCCAAAGCUUCUUGCUCCG
Onychostruthus taczanowskii (white-rumped snowfinch) is the source of this 381-nucleotide non-coding RNA. The record is from the annotation of a RefSeq genome assembly. Lineage: Eukaryota; Metazoa; Chordata; Aves; Passeriformes; Passeridae.